This 363-nucleotide transfer-messenger RNA is filed under the name Escherichia coli. It matches the Rfam family "transfer-messenger RNA". From Rfam's summary of the family: Bacterial tmRNA, also known as 10Sa RNA or SsrA, is named for its dual tRNA and mRNA-like properties. Its role is to liberate the mRNA from a stalled ribosome. Lineage: Bacteria; Pseudomonadati; Pseudomonadota; Gammaproteobacteria; Enterobacterales; Enterobacteriaceae. The record is from RNAcentral.
GGGGCUGAUUCUGGAUUCGACGGGAUUUGCGAAACCCAAGGUGCAUGCCGAGGGGCGGUUGGCCUCGUAAAAAGCCGCAAAAAAUAGUCGCAAACGACGAAAACUACGCUUUAGCAGCUUAAUAACCUGCUUAGAGCCCUCUCUCCCUAGCCUCCGCUCUUAGGACGGGGAUCAAGAGAGGUCAAACCCAAAAGAGAUCGCGUGGAAGCCCUGCCUGGGGUUGAAGCGUUAAAACUUAAUCAGGCUAGUUUGUCAGUGGCGUGUCCGUCCGCAGCUGGUAAGCGAAUGUAAAGACUGACUAAGCAUGUAGUACCGAGGAUGUAGGAAUUUCGGACGCGGGUUCAACUCCCGCCAGCUCCACCA